RNAcentral lists this ribosomal RNA (1552 nucleotides) under Escherichia coli. RNAcentral describes it as "partial 23S ribosomal RNA". It matches the Rfam family "Bacterial large subunit ribosomal RNA", at positions 467 to 2004 of the family's 2925-position model. The record is from RNAcentral. Lineage: Bacteria; Pseudomonadati; Pseudomonadota; Gammaproteobacteria; Enterobacterales; Enterobacteriaceae.
UAAAUACUCCUGACUGACCGAUAGUGAACCAGUACCGUGAGGGAAAGGCGAAAAGAACCCCGGCGAGGGGAGUGAAAAAGAACCUGAAACCGUGUACGUACAAGCAGUGGGAGCCUCUUAAUGGGGUGACUGCGUACCUUUUGUAUAAUGGGUCAGCGACUUAUAUUCUGUAGCAAGGUUAACCGAAUAGGGGAGCCGAAGGGAAACCGAGUCUUAACUGGGCGUUAAGUUGCAGGGUAUAGACCCGAAACCCGGUGAUCUAGCCAUGGGCAGGUUGAAGGUUGGGUAACACUAACUGGAGGACCGAACCGACUAAUGUUGAAAAAUUAGCGGAUGACUUGUGGCUGGGGGUGAAAGGCCAAUCAAACCGGGAGAUAGCUGGUUCUCCCCGAAAGCUAUUUAGGUAGCGCCUCGUGAAUUCAUCUCCGGGGGUAGAGCACUGUUUCGGCAAGGGGGUCAUCCCGACUUACCAACCCGAUGCAAACUGCGAAUACCGGAGAAUGUUAUCACGGGAGACACACGGCGGGUGCUAACGUCCGUCGUGAAGAGGGAAACAACCCAGACCGCCAGCUAAGGUCCCAAAGUCAUGGUUAAGUGGGAAACGAUGUGGGAAGGCCCAGACAGCCAGGAUGUUGGCUUAGAAGCAGCCAUCAUUUAAAGAAAGCGUAAUAGCUCACUGGUCGAGUCGGCCUGCGCGGAAGAUGUAACGGGGCUAAACCAUGCACCGAAGCUGCGGCAGCGACACUAUGUGUUGUUGGGUAGGGGAGCGUUCUGUAAGCCUGUGAAGGUGGCCUGUGAGGGUUGCUGGAGGUAUCAGAAGUGCGAAUGCUGACAUAAGUAACGAUAAAGCGGGUGAAAAGCCCGCUCGCCGGAAGACCAAGGGUUCCUGUCCAACGUUAAUCGGGGCAGGGUGAGUCGACCCCUAAGGCGAGGCCGAAAGGCGUAGUCGAUGGGAAACAGGUUAAUAUUCCUGUACUUGGUGUUACUGCGAAGGGGGGACGGAGAAGGCUAUGUUGGCCGGGCGACGGUUGUCCCGGUUUAAGCGUGUAGGCUGGUUUUCCAGGCAAAUCCGGAAAAUCAAGGCUGAGGCGUGAUGACGAGGCACUACGGUGCUGAAGCGACAAAUGCCCUGCUUCCAGGAAAAGCCUCUAAGCAUCAGGUAACAUCAAAUCGUACCCCAAACCGACACAGGUGGUCAGGUAGAGAAUACCAAGGCGCUUGAGAGAACUCGGGUGAAGGAACUAGGCAAAAUGGUGCCGUAACUUCGGGAGAAGGCACGCUGAUAUGUAGGUGAAGCGACUUGCUCGUGGAGCUGAAAUCAGUCGAAGAUACCAGCUGGCUGCAACUGUUUAUUAAAAACACAGCACUGUGCAAACACGAAAGUGGACGUAUACGGUGUGACGCCUGCCCGGUGCCGGAAGGUUAAUUGAUGGGGUUAGCGGUAACGCGAAGCUCUUGAUCGAAGCCCCGGUAAACGGCGGCCGUAACUAUAACGGUCCUAAGGUAGCGAAAUUCCUUGUCGGGUAAGUUCCGACCUGCACGAAUGGCGUAA